RNAcentral lists this transfer RNA (71 nucleotides) under Dipodomys ordii (Ord's kangaroo rat). It matches the Rfam family "tRNA". From Rfam's summary of the family: Transfer RNA (tRNA) molecules are approximately 80 nucleotides in length. Lineage: Eukaryota; Metazoa; Chordata; Mammalia; Rodentia; Heteromyidae. The record is from Rfam by way of RNAcentral.
UGGAAGUUGGCUCAGUGGUAGAGUGCUUGCCUCAUAUGUAUGAGGCCCUAGGUUCAAGUCCUCAGUACCAC